GAGCGAAGCGCUUAAGUCUGAUUCUUCGGAUGAAGACUUUUGUGACUGAGCGGCGGACGGGUGAGUAACGCGUGGGUAACCUGCCUCAUACAGGGGGAUAACAGUUAGAAAUGACUGCUAAUACCGCAUAAGACCACGGUACCGCAUGGUACAGUGGUAAAAACUCCGGUGGUAUGAGAUGGACCCGCGUCUGAUUAGGUAGUUGGUGGGGUAACGGCCUACCAAGCCAACGAUCAGUAGCCGACCUGAGAGGGUGACCGGCCACAUUGGGACUGAGACACGGCCCAGACUCCUACGGGAGGCAGCAGUGGGGAAUAUUGCACAAUGGAGGAAACUCUGAUGCAGCGACGCCGCGUGAAGGAUGAAGUAUUUCGGUAUGUAAACUUCUAUCAGCAGGGAAGAAAAUGACGGUACCUGACUAAGAAGCCCCGGCUAACUACGUGCCAGCAGCCGCGGUAAUACGUAGGGGGCAAGCGUUAUCCGGAUUUACUGGGUGUAAAGGGAGCGUAGACGGCACGGCAAGCCAGAUGUGAAAGCCCGGGGCUCAACCCCGGGACUGCAUUUGGAACUGCUGAGCUAGAGUGUCGGAGAGGCAAGUGGAAUUCCUAGUGUAGCGGUGGAAUGCGUAGAUAUUAGGAGGAACACCAGUGGCGAAGGCGGCUUGC
This 665-nucleotide ribosomal RNA is filed under the name uncultured Lachnospiraceae bacterium. RNAcentral describes it as "bacterial SSU rRNA". It matches the Rfam family "Bacterial small subunit ribosomal RNA", at positions 59 to 729 of the family's 1533-position model. The record is from RNAcentral. Lineage: Bacteria; Bacillati; Bacillota; Clostridia; Lachnospirales; Lachnospiraceae.